RNAcentral lists this ribosomal RNA (718 nucleotides) under uncultured bacterium. Its description in RNAcentral is "bacterial SSU rRNA". It matches the Rfam family "Bacterial small subunit ribosomal RNA", at positions 54 to 749 of the family's 1533-position model. The record is from RNAcentral.
CAUGCAGUCGAGCGAGAAACUCCGAGCAAUCGGAGGAGUAAAGCGGCGAGCGGGUGAGUAACGCAUGGGUAACCUACCUUCAGAACCGGGAUAACCUCGCGAAAGUGGGGCUAAUACCGGAUAAUCUGAUCAACUGAGAUGUUGAUCAGCAAAGUAAGCCUCUGCUUGCAAGCUUACAUCUGAAGAUGGGCCUGUGUCCGAUCAGCUAGUUGGUGAGGUAACGGCCCACCAAGGCUAUGACCGGUAGCUGGUCUGGAAGGACGGCCAGCCACACUGGAACUUAAACACGGUCCAGACUCCUACGGGAGGCAGCAGUGAGGAAUUUUGGGCAAUGGGCGAAAGCCUGACCCAGCGAUACCACGUGAGCGAUGAAGGCCUUCGGGUUGUAAAGCUCUGUCGAGCGGGAAGAUGACGUUGUUCUCUAACAGGGAAUAGCGUUGACUGUACCGCUGGAGGAAGCAUCGGCCAACUACGUGCCAGCAGCCGCGGUAAAACGUAGGAUGCGAGCGUUGUCCGGAAGUAUUGGGCGUAAAGGGCGUGUAGGCGGUUUAGUAAGUUCAGUGUGAAAUCCCUUAACUCAAAUAAGGAAGUGCACUGAAUACUGCUAAGCUAGAGUAUGGGAGAGGGAGGCGGAAUUCCCGGUGUAGAGGUGAAAUUCGUAGAUAUCGGGAAGAACAUCCUUGGCGAAGGCGGCCUCCUGGAACAAUACUGACGCUGA